AUUGAACGCUGGCGGCAUGCUUUACACAUGCAAGUCGAACGGCAGCGCGGGCUUCGGCCUGGCGGCGAGUGGCGAACGGGUGAGUAAUACAUCGGAACGUGCCCAGUAGUGGGGGAUAGCUCGGCGAAAGCCGGAUUAAUACCGCAUACGACCUGAGGGUGAAAGCGGGGGAUCUUCGGACCUCGCGCUAUUGGAGCGGCCGAUGGCAGAUUAGUUAGUUGGUGGGGUAAAGGCCUACCAAGGCGACGAUCUGUAGCUGGUCUGAGAGGACGACCAGCCACACUGGGACUGAGACACGGCCCAGACUCCUACGGGAGGCAGCAGUGGGGAAUUUUGGACAAUGGGCGAAAGCCUGAUCCAGCAAUGCCGCGUGUGUGAUGAAGGCCUUCGGGUUGUAAAGCACUUUUGGCGGGAACGAAAAGGACUGUGCCAAUACCACGGUUCGAUGACGGUACCUGCAGAAUAAGCACCGGCUAACUACGUG
This 484-nucleotide ribosomal RNA is filed under the name uncultured bacterium. RNAcentral's name for it is "partial 16S ribosomal RNA". It matches the Rfam family "Bacterial small subunit ribosomal RNA", at positions 29 to 507 of the family's 1533-position model. The record is from RNAcentral.